CCUACGGGAUGCAGCAGUGGGGAAUAUUGCGCAAUGGGCGAAAGCCUGACGCAGCGACGCCGCGUGAGGGAUGAAGGUCUUCGGAUCGUAAACCUCUGUCAGCAGGGAAGAACGGUAACUGUGCUAAUCAGCAGUGAAUUGACGGUACCUGCAAAGGAAGCACCGGCUAACUCCGUGCCAGCAGCCGCGGUAAUACGGAGGGUGCGAGCGUUAAUCGGAAUUACUGGGCGUAAAGCGCUCGUAGGCGGUAUGUCAAGUCAAGGGUGAAAUCCCCGCGCUUAACGUUGGAACUGCCUUGGAAACUGGGCAACUGGAGUGUAUGAGAGGUUAGUGGAAUUCCAAGUGUAGGAGUGAAAUCCGUAGAUAUUAGGAGGAACAUCAGUGGCGAAGGCGACUAUCUGG
RNAcentral lists this ribosomal RNA (402 nucleotides) under uncultured bacterium. RNAcentral describes it as "partial 16S ribosomal RNA". It matches the Rfam family "Bacterial small subunit ribosomal RNA", at positions 338 to 732 of the family's 1533-position model. The record is from RNAcentral.